Molecule: ribosomal RNA, 1252 nt
Filed under: metagenome
Description: SSU rRNA
Rfam family: Eukaryotic small subunit ribosomal RNA
Source: RNAcentral
UAACGGGGCGGUCCUCUAUGAGGCCCGUCAUUGUAUUGAGUAAAACACAAAAUAUUUAACGAAACCAAUUGGAGGGCAAGUCUGGUGCCAGCAGCCGCGGUAAUUCCAGCUCCAAAAGCAUAUAUUAAAGUUGUUGCGGUUAAAAAGCUCGUAGUUGGAUCCAUGACCUCGGAGGGCGGUCCCCCACUGGGUGCGUACUGCUGCUCCGAGUCCUAUCUGUCAGUUUGUCUGUGUUGCCUUUAAUCGGGUGGCACAGGUGACUGACGUGUUUACUUUGAAAAAAUUAGAGUGUUUAAAGCAGGCGUUGAAUGCCUGAAUAGUGGUGCAUGGAAUAAUGGAAUAGGAUCUCGGUUUUAUUUUGUUGGUUCAAGAGCAUGAGAAAAUGAUCAAGAGGGACAGACGGGGGCAUUUGUAUUGCUGCGUUAGAGGUGAAAUUCUUGGAUCGUAGCAAGACAAACUACUGCGAAGGCAUUUGCCAAGAAUGUUUUCAUUAAUCAAGAACGAAAGUUAGAGGUUCGAAGGCGAUCAGAUACCGCCCUAGUUCUAACCGUAAACCAUGUCGACUAGCUAUCUGUCAGCGUUAAUAAUGACCUGACAGGCAGCUUACCGGAAACGAAAGUUUCUCGAUUCCGGGGGUAGUAUGGUUGCAAAGCUGAAACUUAAAGGAAUUGACGGAAGGGCACCACCAGGAGUGGAGCCUGCGGCUUAAUUUGACCCAACACGGGAAAACUCACCCGGCCCGGACACCGUAAGGAUUGGCAGAUUAAUAGCUCUUUCUCGAUUUGGUGAUUGGUGGUGCAUGGCCGUUCUUAGUUGGUGGAGCGAUUUGUCUGGUUAAUUCCGAUAACGAACGAGAUUCUAACUUACUAACUAGUUCCACGAUCCUUGUGGUCCUAAAUACUUCUUAGAGGGAAAACCGGCAUUUAGUCGAACGAGAUUGAGCAAUAACAGGUCUGUGAUGCCCUUAGAUGUCCGGGGCUGCACGCGUGCUACACUGAAGGAAUCAGCGUGUUUUUCCCUUGCCUGUAAUGGCUGGGUAACCGACUGAAUCUCCUUCGUGUUAGGGAUAGAUCAUUGAAACUAGUGAUCUUCAACUUGGAAUUCCUGGUACGUUUGAGUCAUAAGCUCAAGCAGAUUACGUCCCUGCCCUUUGUACACACCGCCCGUCGCUACUACCGACUGGCAAUAUCUUUGAGACACUUGGAGCGGCCGUGAGCUACCCUAACCGGUAACUCACGGCUGCGAAAAGGUU